GACGAACCGUGCUAACGUUGUUCGGAAUCACUGGGCUUAAAGGGCGCGUAGGCGGGACAGCAAGUCAGGGGUGAAAGCCCGCAGCUCAACUGCGGAAGUGCCUUUGAUACUGCUGUUCUCGAGGGAGGCAGGGGAGUGCGGAACUUCCGGUGGAGCGGUGAAAUGCGUAGAUAUCGGAAGGAACACCGGUGGCGAAAGCGGCGCUCUGGACCUCUUCUGACGCUGAGGCGCGAAAGCUAGGGGAGCAAACGGG
RNAcentral lists this ribosomal RNA (253 nucleotides) under uncultured bacterium. RNAcentral's name for it is "partial 16S ribosomal RNA". It matches the Rfam family "Bacterial small subunit ribosomal RNA", at positions 524 to 776 of the family's 1533-position model. The record is from RNAcentral.